This 500-nucleotide ribosomal RNA is filed under the name uncultured bacterium. Its description in RNAcentral is "partial 16S ribosomal RNA". It matches the Rfam family "Bacterial small subunit ribosomal RNA", at positions 30 to 523 of the family's 1533-position model. The record is from RNAcentral.
AUUGAACGCUGGCGGCAUGCCUUACACAUGCAAGUCGAGCGGUAACGGGUCCUUCGGGAUGCCGACGAGUGGCGAACGGGUGAGUAAUAUAUCGGAACGUGCCCAGUAGUGGGGGAUAACUGCUCGAAAGAGCAGCUAAUACCGCAUACGACCUGAGGGUGAAAGGGGGGGAUCGCAAGACCUCUCGCUAUUGGGGCGGCCGAUAUCAGAUUAGCUAGUUGGUGGGGUAAAGGCCUACCAAGGCAACGAUCUGUAGUUGGUCUGAGAGGACGACCAGCCACACUGGGACUGAGACACGGCCCAGACUCCUACGGGAGGCAGCAGUGGGGAAUUUUGGACAAUGGGCGCAAGCCUGAUCCAGCAAUGCCGCGUGCAGGAAGAAGGCCUUCGGGUUGUAAACUGCUUUUGUCAGGGAAGAAAUCUUCUGGGCUAAUACCCCGGGAGGAUGACGGUACCUGAAGAAUAAGCACCGGCUAACUACGUGCCAGCCGCCGCUGUAA